AGUGAACGCUGGCGGUAGGCCUAACACAUGCAAGUCGAACGGCAGCACAGUAAGAGCUUGCUCUUACGGGUGGCGAGUGGCGGACGGGUGAGGAAUACAUCGGAAUCUACUUUUUCGUGGGGGAUUACGGAGGGAAACUUACGCUAAUACCGCAUACGACCUACGGGUGAAAGCAGGGGAUCUUCGGACCUUGCGCGAUUGAAUGAGCCGAUGCCGGAUUAGCUAGUUGGCGGGGUAAAGGCCCACCAAGGCGACGAUCCGUAGCUGGUCUGAGAGGAUGAUCAGCCACACUGGAACUGAGACACGGUCCAGACUCCUACGGGAGGCAGCAGUGGGGAAUAUUCGACAAUGGGCGAAAGCCUGAUCCAGCCAUACCGCGUGGGUGAAGAAGGCCUUCGGGUUGUAAAGCCCUUUUGUUGGGAAAGAAAAGAAGCAGGUUAAUCCCCCGCUGUUCUGACGGUACCCAAAGAAUAAGCACCGGCUAACUUCGUG
Molecule: ribosomal RNA, 492 nt
Filed under: uncultured bacterium
Lineage: Bacteria
Description: partial 16S ribosomal RNA
Rfam family: Bacterial small subunit ribosomal RNA
Source: RNAcentral